This 19-nucleotide ribosomal RNA is filed under the name Phytophthora cactorum. Its description in RNAcentral is "partial 18S ribosomal RNA". Lineage: Eukaryota; Oomycota; Peronosporomycetes; Peronosporales; Peronosporaceae. The record is from RNAcentral.
ACCUGCGGAACGAUCAUUA